AGAUUUUGAUCCUGGCUCAGGAUGAACGCUGGCGGCGUGCUUAACACAUGCAAGUCGAACGAAACACCUUAUUUGAUUUUCUUCGGAACUGAAGAUUUGGUGAUUGAGUGGCGGACGGGUGAGUAACGCGUGAGUAACCUGCCUUCAAGAGGGGGAUAACAUUCUGAAAAGAAUGCUAAUACCGCAUGACAUAUCGGAAUCACAUGGUUUUGAUAUCAAAGAUUUUAUCGCUUGAAGAUGGACUCGCGUCCGAUUAGUUAGUUGGUGAGGUAACGGCUCACCAAGACCGCGAUCGGUAGCCGGACUGAGAGGUUGAACGGCCACAUUGGGACUGAGACACGGCCCAGACUCCUACGGGAGGCAGCAGUGGGGGAUAUUGCGCAAUGGGGGCAACCCUGACGCAGCAACGCCGCGUGAAGGAUGAAGGUUUUCGGAUUGUAAACUUCUUUUAUUAAGGACGAAACUUGACGGUACUUAAUGAAUAAGCUCCGG
RNAcentral lists this ribosomal RNA (492 nucleotides) under uncultured bacterium. RNAcentral's name for it is "bacterial SSU rRNA". It matches the Rfam family "Bacterial small subunit ribosomal RNA", at positions 8 to 496 of the family's 1533-position model. The record is from RNAcentral.